CCCACUUCCAGCGAUGCAGCUGCGCGGGAGUCUCGCUGUCUCUCACACACCCUGGAUCCACAACCAGGAUGCAGCUCCCAGUGGGUGAACCUCUCCUAAAUCCAGAGAGCGUAGCAGGAACAAAUCAAGCUCUUACAGGGGCUUACUCUGGGGAGUAAGUGAUAAUAGCAAUCCCCAGAGUGCACACCCAAGCAUGAGCCAAGGCUUCAAGAAAGGUGCAAGUAGGUCUGGUUUAUUGAGGGCUACCUGCCCGGUAUUUAUGCAAGUGUCCACCAGUUGGACACUCUCCUAGGG
Pelobates cultripes (western spadefoot toad) is the source of this 294-nucleotide non-coding RNA. NCBI's taxonomy places the organism in Eukaryota, Metazoa, Chordata, Amphibia, Anura, Pelobatidae. The record is from the annotation of a GenBank genome assembly.